ACCAUCGUAAAAAAAAAAAAAAAAAAAAAGCCCCUUUUCUCACUCUCUCUCUUCCCGAAAUCUAGUUAAGCGUUGCCAUGGAAUUUAUGUUUGCAUAUUUAAAUGCCAUCACAGCAGGACUUAUUGCCAUACUUCUGUUCGCCUGCUAUAUAAGGAGGUCUACAGCCGCCAAGAAACCUCAACCGCCCAAAGCCGCUGGUGCGUGGCCCAUAAUUGGUCAUCUCCCUUUGUUAACAGGAUCCCAAGUUCCCCACAUAUCGUUGGGAGCUUUAGCUGACAAGUACGGACCAAUCUUCACCAUUCAGAUUGGGAUACACCAAGCCUUGGUGGUGAGCUCUUGGGAAUUGGCUAAGGAAAUUUUCACUACCAACGAUAUAGCCGUGUCUGGCCGCCCUAAUUUCACUGCGGUAAAGUACCUGGGCUACGAUAGUGUCAUGUUCGGGUUUGCACCAUAUGGAGAUUAUUGGCGUGAAAUGCGCAAGAUAAUAUCCGUGGAACUAUUCUGUAGUCGCCAGAUUGAGUUACGCAAGCACGUUAUAGAAUCUGAAGUUGAAACGUCCAUAAAAGAGCUCCACAAAUUCUGGACGGAGAAAGAGAAUGGCUCAGGCCACGUUUCAGUUGAGUUGAAACAAUGGUUCGGUGACUUAGGUCUUAACGUGAUUCUUAGAAUAAUUGUGGGGAUGAGGCACUUUAGUGCUACUGCUGGGAGUGAUAGAAAAGAAGUGGACCGGUGCCGUAAGGCGAUGAGAGAAUUCUUUGAUUUUCUGGGGCUGUUUGUUUUGAGGGAUGCAAUACCUUUUCUUGGUUGGCUGGAUGUGGGUGGACAUGAGAAGUGCAUGAAAAAAGCUGCUAAAGAACUUGACGAGCUUGUCAGUGAAUGGUUAGAGGAGCAUCGCAAGAAGAGAGAUUCUGGUGACUUGGCUAAAAAAGAUCAAGACUUCAUGGAUGUCAUGCUUUCGGUUCUUGAAGAAACUCAAUUUGUAGGUUACGACUCUGAUAUGAUCAACAAGUCUGCAUGUUUGAAUUUAAUUGCGGGGGGCAGUGAUACCACUACAAUUGUCCUGACAUGGAUAGUUUCAUUACUGCUGAACAACAGGCACGUAUUGAAGAAAGCACAAGAAGAAUUAGCCAUGCUGGUUGGCAGAGAAAGACUAGUGAAUGAAUCAGAUAUUAGUAAAUUAAUUUAUCUCCAAGCAAUAAUCAAAGAAACACUGCGAUUGUAUCCACCAGCUCCAUUGUCAGGACCUCGAGAAAUUAUAGAGGAUUGCACCAUCAGUGGCUACCAUGUAAAGAAAGGAACUAGGCUGAUUCCAAACCUUUGGAAGAUCCACACAGACCCACGCAUAUGGCCAAAUCCAUUGGAGUUUAAGCCAGAGAGAUUUCUUACUAGCCAUAAGCACAUUGACGUUAAGGGACAAAAUUUCGAAUUGAUCCCAUUCGGAAGUGGUAGAAGAGCAUGCCCUGGAACAUCAUUUGGCCUUCCAACGGUACACAUAGCAUUGGCUAGCUUUCUACAAGCUUUUGAGAUAUUAAAUCCUACAAGUGGACCUAUUGACAUGACUGAGAGUCCUGGAUUAACGAACAUCAAAGCCACCCCACUUGAAAUUUUGGUUUCGCCACGCCUGCCUCUUGAGCUUUACAACAUACUAUGAAUAUUAGUGCAAAUCAAUAUCAAUAAAUUAUAAAUAUGUAAAAAAAAUUUUUUUUAC
Molecule: unclassified non-coding RNA, 1709 nt
Filed under: Hevea brasiliensis (rubber tree)
Lineage: Eukaryota; Viridiplantae; Streptophyta; Magnoliopsida; Malpighiales; Euphorbiaceae
Source: RNAcentral